This 253-nucleotide ribosomal RNA is filed under the name uncultured bacterium. RNAcentral's name for it is "partial 16S ribosomal RNA". It matches the Rfam family "Bacterial small subunit ribosomal RNA", at positions 524 to 776 of the family's 1533-position model. The record is from RNAcentral.
UACGUAGGGAGCAAGCGUUGUUCGGAUUUACUGGGCGUAAAGGGCGCGUAAGCGGCCUGUCAAGUCAACUGUGAAAUCUCCGGGCUUAACUCGGAACGGUCAGUUGAUACUGUCAGGCUAGAGUGCAGAAGGGGCAAUCGGAAUUCUUGGUGUAGCGGUGAAAUGCGUAGAUAUCAAGAGGAACACCUGAGGUGAAGACGGGUUGCUGGGCUGACACUGACGCUGAGGCGCGAAAGCCAGGGGAGCAAACGGG